GAAGCUCUGCCAAUAAUGCAUAAGAAAAGUAGGAAAGAAAAAACAUCCCGGUGAAAGGAGCUUGGGUUUAUCUAGUCCUUCCAGGCUUCUCCAAAGAAGAGUUCGACAACCCAAAAUCCAGCUCGUUUUGGAUAAAAAAUGAAAAGAAGGAAACUAUGCAAACAUCUUAUUAAACGCGGAUGUAUGCUGCUUGGAAUGGAAAAGUGAGAAGCUCUGAAAAAGAAGACAGUCUGUUAUAAAUGAAAGGUUUCAAAGAGGGAAAACCCCUAAGUUUAACAGAGUUUUUAGAGUAAACUUCUCAUACCGGAUUUCUGCUGAGACUCUUUGCCC
This 330-nucleotide long non-coding RNA is filed under the name Gallus gallus (chicken). Lineage: Eukaryota; Metazoa; Chordata; Aves; Galliformes; Phasianidae. The record is from RNAcentral.